RNAcentral lists this ribosomal RNA (759 nucleotides) under Escherichia coli. Its description in RNAcentral is "partial 23S ribosomal RNA". It matches the Rfam family "Bacterial large subunit ribosomal RNA", at positions 2190 to 2925 of the family's 2925-position model. The record is from RNAcentral. Lineage: Bacteria; Pseudomonadati; Pseudomonadota; Gammaproteobacteria; Enterobacterales; Enterobacteriaceae.
CCUUGAAAUACCACCCUUUAAUGUUUGAUGUUCUAACGUUGGCCCCUGAUCGGGGUUGCGGACAGUGUCUGGUGGGUAGUUUGACUGGGGCGGUCUCCUCCUAAAGAGUAACGGAGGAGCACGAAGGUUGGCUAAUCCUGGUCGGACAUCAGGAGGUUAGUGCAAUGGCAUAAGCCAGCUUGACUGCGAGCGUGACGGCGCGAGCAGGUGCGAAAGCAGGUCAUAGUGAUCCGGUGGUUCUGAAUGGAAGGGCCAUCGCUCAACGGAUAAAAGGUACUCCGGGGAUAACAGGCUGAUACCGCCCAAGAGUUCAUAUCGACGGCGGUGUUUGGCACCUCGAUGUCGGCUCAUCACAUCCUGGGGCUGAAGUAGGUCCCAAGGGUAUGGCUGUUCGCCAUUUAAAGUGGUACGCGAGCUGGGUUUAGAACGUCGUGAGACAGUUCGGUCCCUAUCUGCCGUGGGCGCUGGAGAACUGAGGGGGGCUGCUCCUAGUACGAGAGGACCGGAGUGGACGCAUCACUGGUGUUCGGGUUGUCAUGCCAAUGGCACUGCCCGGUAGCUAAAUGCGGAAGAGAUAAGUGCUGAAAGCAUCUAAGCACGAAACUUGCCCCGAGAUGAGUUCUCCCUGAGACUUUAAGUCUCCUGAAGGAACGUUGAAGACGACGACGUUGAUAGGCCGGGUGUGUAAGCGCAGCGAUGCGUUGAGCUAACCGGUACUAAUGAACCGUGAGGCUUAACCUUACAACGCCGAAGGUGUUU